RNAcentral lists this unclassified non-coding RNA (277 nucleotides) under Hevea brasiliensis (rubber tree). Lineage: Eukaryota; Viridiplantae; Streptophyta; Magnoliopsida; Malpighiales; Euphorbiaceae. The record is from RNAcentral.
CGAGGGUAGCAGAGAUGCCGGAUACCAGCUGCCCUUUUGGUUGCCAAUAAGCGGCCACAUGACUCCCCAUGAAAGGAUGGCUCCGAGGAGGAGAGAGAUGUUCACAAUGUAAGGGCAUAUCAUCCCAACUCCCACAUAAGUAGCAGAGAAAUCAAAGUAGAACCUGUUGUCAUAGGCUUUGAGGCCCAAUGUAGGGAAAGCUGUGAAGCCACAGUCGCUGCCGGAAGUAUAGAACCACUGGAAAAAUCCCCAUAGGAAACUACCGGCGAAGAACUUG